GAUUAUGUGAAGACCAGUUGAGUUCCUGAUGGUCCAUCUCGACUUAACUCUUGUGCAGACUGUUGUAACAAGAAAAAUAUUAUUCUCCAGGUAUCCUGGGAUCGGUGAUCUGAAGCUGCAGUUAGGGCGACUGCUUAUCCUGGUUGGCCUGGGCCCCUCCUGGUUAUCAAACCCAAGUCAUCAACAGCAUCAAAGUGGGAGCUCUUAGAGUACAGAUCCCAGCUCAGCUAUUCUGAGUUCCUGAGUUUAACUUAUAGCAGUGGAGUUCAGGAAUCUGUAUGUAUUUUAUAAAGUACUCCCAGGUGAAUCUGAUAAACUGUUCUAGAAAACAUGCAGAAUUCCUGAUUUUGAGACAUGCUCUGUGUGUGCGUGUAUGUGUGUUUUCCCUUCCCUUUCCCAAGAUGCCAACAACUGCUUUCUCUUCUGUAUUACAAUUGUAACAUGUAUGGUUGCAAUGUAUAUGCGUUUCAUGGUAAAUUCUACUUAAGUAUUAAGAUGUUUAGGGAUACUAGACCAAGAAAUUCUUUAUAAAAAGCUGUUUUCUCUUUCUCUUUCUACUUCUAGAAACUAUCACAGUGCUUGAACAUAGUGUAUAUUCACUAAAUAAACCAAUUAACAAGAGAAGAUAUUUAGGAAUAACUUAGUGCUUAAAGUCUGUUCUACCAGCCAUUAAAGAGAAGCAUUUAGAGGAUGCUUCAUGGAGGAAGUGGCAUUGGGAGGAGGGCUAGAAUCCAGGAAGAUAGAGAAAGGCAGGAGGGGGUUAUAUGCAGGAGGGGAAAAGAAUAGCAAUACCAAGUUGAUAGGUGUGAUUAUGGGGAAAUGUGCAAAUGGUGGAAAUUAAAGUUGAUCACAAAAACACUUUAGAUUCUUCACCAGGGAGUAACAAGAUCAAAGCAGUACUUUAGUAAGGUCCUUGAUCAUAAUGAAUAUAUCUGCAGUCAAGAGAAACUGGCACGAGGAAACCCUGGGUAGGUGUUUAUGCCGCUUGUUGUAAAUGUACUGUUCAAGCUCAGCAGAUCUCAAUUUCAAACCAGUAAGUUGAAGGGACUCAUACUUCAUCUCUUUUUUACACACAUGCUGCUAUUUGUUUUCAGGUUUUUUGGCCCUGACAUCACAGCACCACCUUUGUAUACUCAGGCCCUUGAGGAUCAUUCUGGGGACCAGCAGCACGUAACCAAAACUUGCUUUUCUUCCUACCCUUCUUCCCCUCCCUCUCCUUAUCUUCCCUGUCCUUCCAUUCACCGCACCUUUUCAGAAACUGCAUUGGUCAUUUCUGAGCUGUUCAGCUAAUAUAUAACCACUUUAAUGUAUGUGAUCAUAUAAAUAAGAAGAUACAGCCCCCCUAGUUUCAAUUAGAGAACAGUUAAAAUGUAUAUCUACACAUUUCACUGAAAAUGCAGACAACGAAAUUCAGUUGGCAUAAACUGGAGUCAAAUAUGAAGAGUCCUAUAAUACUCCCUAUAAAAACAAUAAAAUGAUAAUAAAGUGGAUCAUUCAACAAUUUAAAUGAUCCUCAGCCAAAUUCCACAUAUGCCACCCCACCCCCUUCGAGGGCUCCUUCCUAUUUCCCUGAAAAUUUAUGCAACUCCAUUCUUUUAGUUUUGCAUAUAAAGAUUUUAGUGCUCUCCUUGACUCCUCUCAUUCUUUCUCUUUUAGACCUAACACAUUGACUCUACUUUCCAAAUACAUUCUGGGCUUGAUCACUUCUAACCAUUCCCCAAUUUAAGUUACCAUUGUCAUCUCUCACCUAGAUUCUUCCAGUACAGCUCCGACCAGAUCCUUGCUUUUGCUCCUGCCCACAAUAUGGCAGCCAGAACUGUAUUGCCAAUACCAUUUGAUCAUGGUGCUUCUCUCCUGAGAACUCUAUUGUGCCUUCCUUUCUCAUCCAGGGUAAAAAUUAAAGCCCCUCAUUGUAAUGUAUGUGGCCGCUUCUGGUCUGUGCUCCUGGUAAUCUCUCUGUCUUCAUCUCUUUUUGCCCUUCCCCCAUGGCCUCUGGCUGCAGCCACAUGGCCCCCUCGCUGGUCCUUAAACCAACAACAUUCUCCAGAUAAUGUCCAUGCAGUUCCCUCUGCCUUCCUCAGAUAAAUGUGUGUCCAGCUUCUUCACGUCCUGUCACAUCUUUACUUAGAAUGUCACUCCCAAUAAAGCCUUGCUCUGCCACGGUCUAAAAUUCCAUCCCUCCUCUCCAAAAAUUUUUUCAUAUUUCCCAUCUUAACAUAUUAUUUGUUCUGCACUGGAGAGAAAAUGCCAUAAAAAUCUAGUUGAGUCUCUUUUGUUAGCUGGUGUAAUCCCUUCACUAGAAUAGUGCCCAAUACCUAGGAAAUAGAAAAUCAAAAAUGCCGAAUACAUGGAUAUAUGAAACCAUAGCCAUAGUUUGCAUGGUAGUAUUUGACAUUGCUCUCACUAUAUUUAAAAAUACAGAUUUAUCUUUAUCUUCUGAUCUUAACAUAUAGGAAAUCUAUUAAAAACUUUAUUAUUUCACAAUUUAUAUGAUUUGAUUGAUGUUUUAGUACUUAACAUACCAAAUUGAAAAUGUUGAUGUGAAUACUACAAUAUUAGUUUCUGGCAGUAGUUUUAUUUGUUUUGAAUGUUCUUCCUUUAAUGUUUAGUAUUAGAUACAUUUGUGGAAAAAAUUUCAUUUAUUUGUUUCUAAUGUUCUUUAAUGUUUAGUAUUAGAUAUAUUUGUGAAAGGAAGUCUUAAAUUAAUAAAUGCUCUAGAGUGUGUUACUUACUAAUAUUUCAAAUUAGAAGACAUCAGAUGGACAAACUCUUUUCUUUUUUUAGAUAGGACAUUCCAAAUUGCAUUCUCUUCAAGGAAAAAUUGGCAUCUAUAAAAUUUGGACUAAUGAUUUUGAUUUUGAAAGAAAUUAUAGGGUGAUCAAUUUAGAUUGCUAUCAAAAGUUUAGUACAUAAAUAUGCUAUUUUAAAAGUUGGUAUAUCACAUAGUGAACACCAGCAUUUCAGUGUAAUGCUAUGAAAAUGCCAAGGUUUCAUUUCCUAAAAAAUGCAUCCCUAUGUCAGUGUGAGCCCUUACACAUCCAAGAUAGAGGUGAGAAGCUUGCCAAAAUCCAGGUUCUUAUGAUCUGCAUACAUUUCCAGAAGUGCCAGCUUUAAUUAGGUAAAUAUAAGAGUUAUAUAAUUUAUUCACACUUACUGGCAUAACAUUCUUAUGAGUUGUUUUAAAUAAAUGCAAGAUGUGUUUGAACACACAUGCACAUACAGAAAGAAGUUAAGUAGUUGUCCUUUGGGGCAUUCCAAUUGGAGGUCAAACAUCAUAUCAACACUCAUUCCUCUCUCUCAGGCUGAUGAAAAUGCCAUGUGAUGAAUGUUGAAUCUAAGCCCAAAAGCAUCUGUACACCACUGAAACCUUGCUCACACAAUUUUCAGCUGUACUCUGAUGGCUGAGUAACUUCGACCUUCUGUCUGGGCAUAUAGCUUUGCCAAUGCUUUUGCUUUGAGGUAGUGAGCUUUGAAACUCCUAACACAUAUUCAUCUUGUAGUUUCUAACAAUACCAGUUUAUCCUCAGUGUGGGAAUUAUUUCGCAUCCAUGAAACCUUAGAUAUCAUUCAUGCUGAUUUCGAAAUACAUUUUCUUGAAGAUAGUUUUCCUCCAAGACAAACCAUAUGGCAUAUUUUCUUUGGCAACUGUUUUCUUUUUGCAAUCCUUCAUAUUAAAAUUAAGGUAAAUAUUUUUAAAGAGUAUGUUAUAGUCUUUGUAUUUCUUUCCCCCUACAUCUUCCUCAAAAGCCCCAUAAACUUGUUUUCUUCCCUGUCCCCUCUGUUCUUAUUUUAUUGGUUGGUUGUGUGUGUAGAGGUGGGACUGGUGUAAUUUUUUAAAGAUUGUAGAGUGCUUGGUUUCCUUGCUCUUCUGCAGAGCGGUGGACAUGGCGUGGGCACUGCCCUUGCUCUUUCUAUUAUUCAUUCCAAACUCGACGUGACAGGACACUGGCCAUGGACAGCUGCCCAGACAGGUGGCUUACAUGACACAGAGUCCCUGAGGCAGGUCAGUGCAAAAGCCGUCAAGACCUUUUUGACAAAACAGGUGUUCGCCAGGGUGAAAAAGAGUGUGUAGCACUCAAGAGUUCACAAAUUGCGUUUCACUUCCUUUUUUUUUUUCUCACUGGACCUCAUAGUAAUCCUUGGAUAUACUAAAAUAAUUGUUUCCUGCCCUUUCCACAUGAAGACAAAGAGGGCUAAAGAGAGACAGAGUCAGGGCUCAAAUCUCAAGCCUGAAAGUUUUCGCUCUUUGCACCACAGCAGCUCAGUGUCCUCUGUGAGCCCCAGGGAGCACUGGUGAAAUCAACUGCAAAGUUCAAGAUGUGUGUGAAGGACAGCUGAAUCUGAUCAAUUCUAGGCUUUUCCUCCCUGCUCCCACCCCCUCCCUGGAAAUAAACUUUGCCUUUUCUUUAGGUUUACAUUACUUGUGUAUUGGCUUAUACAUAAUAUUUUUCUAUCUAUCUAUCAUCUGCCUAUCUAUCCAUCCAUCCAUUUAUCUGAAAUCUAUCAUUUUUUCAAUAUAAGCAAAUGUUUUAAAACAUUAAUUCAUAAAAACUACAGCCAUGAGGAAGACUAUAGAGUUUAGGUAUACAUAUUCAUAUACAAAAAAAUCAUAAUACUAUAAGUGUAUAAAAUGGUAUUACACUUAAUGUAAUCAUCUUCCAAAGUAUAUGGUGUGAGCACGUGGUGUAAUAGCUGAGGGGCAGUCUCCUGUGUGGUUUGAAAAUAUAGGCAUUGGCAUCAGAGGCCCAGUUAAUAAUUGGCUCUGUCAGUUAAUAUUAGUCUGACCUAUGUGACCUAUUUAAUUUCUGAGUCAGGUAAUAUAUUUUUGCACAAAAUGAUGCUCAUAUACUUACAAAUGUGUUGCAAAAAUGAAAUGGUUAAUGUUCAUUGAACUGAAGCUUAGUGCAUAGCAUAUAAUACACCCUCAAAAGAGACAAGUGUUUUUUCCACACCUAUAAUUCUUAAUCAGCCAUAUUAAAUAGAAACACCUAAUAAUUUCAUUUGAUACCAGUAUUAUGUGGGCAAUGUUGAUUAAGCUCCAGCAAAUAUUCUUUCCAGCAAUGCAUGAAGAAAUAAGAUUUUUCACUAUUACCUUUUUUUUUGUAAUGCAUAAUGUCAGACUAUUUUUUGCUCAAGUUACAACUGAAAACUUAUUUUUAAAAUGCCAAUAUUGAGAGUUUCCUGUCGGCUCAGCAGGUUAAGUAUCCAGUGUUGUCACUGCUAUGGUUCUGGUUACUGUUGUGGCACUGGUUCGAUCCCUGGCCUGGGAACUUCUGCAUGCUGCAG
RNAcentral lists this long non-coding RNA (5286 nucleotides) under Sus scrofa (pig). RNAcentral's name for it is "lncRNA (ENSSSCG00000060034.1)". Lineage: Eukaryota; Metazoa; Chordata; Mammalia; Artiodactyla; Suidae. The record is from RNAcentral.